This 1182-nucleotide long non-coding RNA is filed under the name Astyanax mexicanus (Mexican tetra). Its description in RNAcentral is "lncRNA (ENSAMXG00005010031.1)". Lineage: Eukaryota; Metazoa; Chordata; Actinopteri; Characiformes; Acestrorhamphidae. The record is from RNAcentral.
GCCCCGCCCUCAGUUCUGCUGUGUGAGAGACAGCUGCCUUUCAACCACGGAGGAGAAACUGAAAACGGAUUUAUAGAAAUAUAGACAGGGCUCUCAAGUUUUGAGUGUCGGCGGGAGUGUGAUCACUGUUUUUUAUCUGUCCAACGGGGGAGGGGGGGCGGGGGUUGGGCGCGCAGGUUUUGUAUCUGUAUCUGACGGAGGGGUGGGUGCGCGCAGGUGAGAGCGUGUGAACUCGCUGAAAUGCGUGUGUCAGUGUGACUUGAGAACACUGACUAUAGAUCACAGUGAGGUGGAUUAAAAAUCUUAAACUUAUAAUUGACUACACCUGUUGCUUUCCAUUGAAUUAAAAAAACAUCUUUCUCUCAGAUAAAGUAAACACAAGCGUGUUUCUGACUAAAAUAAAAGCUUUUCAGGAGAGAUAUAAGUUAUGUGUAAAUAUUUAUAAGACAAUACCUGACAAAAUCUGUUUUAAUGACGUUAAUAAACAUCACUGUGACAGCGCUAGUCACAGUUUCACCACAUCACUUAUCUAACCAGCCUGUACUGAUUUCUGCCCCCCAAUAAUGCUUUCAAUAACCUCUAAUAGCCUUUAAUAGUCUUCAGUAGCCUUUAAAAGACUUACCUGGCGGCCGUGGUGUGUCCACUAAACUCCGUAGUUAUAAACAUCCCGAGGUUAGCAGCGCGCUAACUGACCUGUUUAUAAUGUAAUCCGAGCAGUGACUCCGUGUCGGCUGUUCUAACCUGCUGCUGUUAGCUGCUUGGGCUGAAAGAUGAACUGUAGUGAGCUGUAUUAUCCAGUUAGUGGGGUUAAAACCUUUAUUUGUUUACAGAAACAGUAAAAACGGACUGGCUGAGCCCUGUAGCCCGUGGCUGGGCUGUACUGAAGUAGUGACUGAGUGAAGAGAGCGGGGCUUGUGCUGCUGCAGCUCCGACUAGUGGUUGGAUGAAGAACUGCAGCUUCAUGAUCGUGUGUACUGGACUGACCAGUUGACGGGUUCCGUCUGUAGUGCAGAUAAACACAGCGGGAAAUCUCUGAGAGUGAUCCAAAACAUUAGGACACAUUCUGCUGCUGGACUGUUCAUCUACCACCCACUACUCCAGCACACAGGUGGGCACCAAACACAUAAUUACUAUUGCGAUGACAGAGUCACUGAUAGUUCAACACAAUAACAUAAAAUAAAC